This 292-nucleotide ribosomal RNA is filed under the name uncultured bacterium. RNAcentral's name for it is "partial 16S ribosomal RNA". It matches the Rfam family "Bacterial small subunit ribosomal RNA", at positions 505 to 796 of the family's 1533-position model. The record is from RNAcentral.
GUGCCAGCCGCCGCGGUAAUACGGAGGAUCCAAGCGUUGUCCGGAUUUAUUGGGUUUAAAGGGUGCGUAGGCGGAUGAUUAAGUCAGUGGUGAAAGCCGGCAGCUCAACUGUCGAACUGCCAUUGAAACUGAUCGUCUUGAAUGUAGUAGAGGUAGGCGUAAUGUAUCAUGUAGCGGUGAAAUGCUUAGAUAUGAUACAGAACACCAAUUGCGAAAGCAGCUUACUAUGCUAUUAUUGACGCUGAGGCACGAAAGCGUGGGGAUCAAACAGGAUUAGAAACCCUAGUAGUCC